CCUACGGGAGGCAGCAGUAGGGAAUCUUCCACAAUGGGCGCAAGCCUGAUGGAGCAACACCGCGUGAGUGAAGAAGGGUUUCGGCUCGUAAAGCUCUGUUGUUGGAGAAGAACGUGCGUGAGAGUAACUGUUCACGCAGUGAAGGUAUCCAACCAGAAAGUCACGGCUAACUACGUGCCAGCAGCCGCGGUAAUACGUAGGUGGCAAGCGUUAUCCGGAUUUAUUGGGCGUAAAGCGAGCGCAGGCGGUUGCUUAGGUCUGAUGUGAAAGCCUUCGGCUUAACCGAAGAAGUGCAUCGGAAACCGGGCAACUUGAGUGCAGAAGAGGACAGUGGAACUCCAUGUGUAGCGGUGGAAUGCGUAGAUAUAUGGAAGAACACCAGUGGCGAAGGCGGCUGUCUGGUCUGCAACUGACGCUGAGGCUCGAAAGCAUGGGUAGCGAACAGGAUUAGAUACCCGGGUAGUC
Molecule: ribosomal RNA, 465 nt
Filed under: uncultured bacterium
Lineage: Bacteria
Description: partial 16S ribosomal RNA
Rfam family: Bacterial small subunit ribosomal RNA
Source: RNAcentral